Molecule: ribosomal RNA, 752 nt
Filed under: uncultured bacterium
Lineage: Bacteria
Description: bacterial SSU rRNA
Rfam family: Bacterial small subunit ribosomal RNA
Source: RNAcentral
AGUCGAACGGACCCUUCGGGGUUAGUGGCGGACGGGUGAGUAACACGUGGGAACGUGCCUUUAGGUUCGGAAUAGCUCCUGGAAACGGGUGGUAAUGCCGAAUGUGCCCUUCGGGGGAAAGAUUUAUCGCCUUUAGAGCGGCCCGCGUCUGAUUAGCUUGUUGGUGGGGUAAUGGCCCACCAAGGCUACGAUCAGUAGCUGGUCUGAGAGGAUGACCAGCCACAUUGGGACUGAGACACGGCCCAAACUCCUACGGGAGGCAGCAGUGGGGAAUCUUGCGCAAUGGGCGAAAGCCUGACGCAGCCAUGCCGCGUGUAUGAUGAAGGUCUUAGGAUUGUAAAAUACUUUCACCGGUGAAGAUAAUGACUGUAGCCGGAGAAGAAGCCCCGGCUAACUUCGUGCCAGCAGCCGCGGUAAUACGAAGGGGGCUAGCGUUGCUCGGAAUUACUGGGCGUAAAGGGAGCGUAGGCGGACAUUUAAGCCAGAGGUGAAAUCCCGGAGCUCAACUCCGGAACUGCCUUUGAUACUGGGUGUCUUGAGUGUGAGAGAGGUAUGUGGAACUCCGAGUGUAGAGGUGAAAUUCGUAGAUAUUCGGAAGAACACCAGUGGCGAAGGCGACAUACUGGCUCAUUACUGACGCUGAGGCUCGAAAGCGUGGGGAGCAAACAGGAUUAGAUACCCUGGUAGUCCACGCCGUAAACGAUGAUUGCUAGUUGUCGGGGAGUUUACUUCUCGGUGACGCAGCUAACGCA